CAAAGUGUAGCUUAAAUGAAAGCAUCUAGUUUACACCUAGAAGACAUCAAAACAAAGAUCGCUUUGA
RNAcentral lists this transfer RNA (67 nucleotides) under Murina shuipuensis. RNAcentral describes it as "tRNA-Val". It matches the Rfam family "tRNA". Rfam says of the family: Transfer RNA (tRNA) molecules are approximately 80 nucleotides in length. Lineage: Eukaryota; Metazoa; Chordata; Mammalia; Chiroptera; Vespertilionidae. The record is from RNAcentral.